This is a long non-coding RNA of Cavia porcellus (domestic guinea pig), 838 nucleotides long. RefSeq lists it as uncharacterized. Lineage: Eukaryota; Metazoa; Chordata; Mammalia; Rodentia; Caviidae. The transcript has 3 exons. The record is from RefSeq and is a predicted model, not a curated record.
UGGUUCCUGUUUGCUGUUUGCAGCCACCAUGAACUGCAGCCCCUCCAUGCCCGCCUGCCUUGGAGCCAACUGAGUGUGGACUGAAACCUCCAAAAACUGCUGAGGGAGACCAUUACCAGAUGGAAACUCAGGAUCUAUAUGAGAAAGGAUGCGUGCCAGAAAUCAUAAAUAUUGCUAGAGAUUGAACCUAGUAGUGCCGAGCUACAACCUGAACCCUUUUUACAUUUUUCAAAUUUUGACACAGAGCCUUCCAAUGUUAUUAAGUUGCCCAGGCUGCUUCUGAACUUGUGAUCCUUCUGCCUUAGCCUCCCAGAGUGCAGGAAAUAGACACAUGCAUCACCAUACGUCACCAGGCUUGGCUUCAAAGUCUAAAACUUCUUAAACCAGGGGUGGUAGUGCAUGCCUGUAAUCCCAGCACUUGAGAGGCUGAGGCAGGAGGAUUAUAAUGAGUUUGAGGCCAGCCUGGCCACACGGUGAUUUUGGGGGCAGCCUGAACUGCAUGGCAAGACCCUGAGUUUAAAAAAUCAAAGAAGAAAAAGAAAAGAAAAGAAAAGAUAAAGAAAGAAAGAAAGAAAACAACAAUGACAAACACAAAGUCUGACCUGAUGCUCAAAACUUUUCCAUUUUGGUAACUUGAACAACUAUUUCUAAGAUGACAAUAUGCAAUCUAUUAACUAGUGAUUUCUUACCAUUUUUUUUUUGUAAUUCUGUAUUACUUGUACCUUUAUACUGUUUUUGUUUUGUUUUUCUUUUUUUCCUUUUAAAUAAAAAAUUAAAAAAAAAAAAAAACUGUCGAGAUUCUCCCUGUACCCCUCAUGUCUGUGUCUGUGGCUUUGUG